UUUGUGUCAAUGUUUCCUAAACACGUAUCACUUUGCCACUUUGUACAACACAUACUACCGUACAGCUGUCUAUUCUGCAUAUAUUUUUGAGCCAAGCAAUGGUGGAGGUAGAGAGACACGUUGGUUUGUAGAGCCACAGGUGAGUUAUCUAUUUUUUCUAUCCAUCUAAGGUGCCUUCAAAAAGUGUGAACCACUUAUUGAUUGUUGCAUUUGUUUCCUGUUACAACUCUUUUUUACAAAUUUUUUCUCACUUCAAUAAAAAAGUACAUUUCACUUGUUUAUGAAUAGAAAAAUAUAUAUAAAUUAAGAACAUAAAUUUUUCCAGUAUGAGAAGAUUAGGUUUCACAUGCACAAAAGUAUUCACCCCCGUGUCAAUAUUUUGCACGUAGUCGUUUAGCACCAGUCACAACCAUGAAUCAUAUGUUUGUAUGCACAUUGGAAACAUUUAUUGUGGAACUUGUGGAAGCUUAUCAAGCUCCAGCUCCAACAAAUUAAAUGGAGAGCAUUGGCAGACUUCCAUUUGUGGAAAAAUAAGUUUGAAACUGAAACUAUCAGUGUAGGUGGUCUCUUGGUCACUAAUAAUGGCUCUUCUUGUCUGAUCCCUCUGUUUAGUAGGAUGGCCUGGACUUGCUAGCAUCUGGAUUGUUUCACAUUUUUUGGAUUAACAAUGACUUCAAUGUACUCAUAAGAAGGAUCAAAACUUUUCCAAUUUGUAUAGCCUUCUUGAACAUUUUCCUCCUGACAACUUCAUCUCAAUUCAUGGGCAGCUCCUUGGUCUUUAUGACAGCAGGACUUAUCUGAUCUGCUGUUGUGAGACCUUAUAAAGUCAAUAAGUCAGUGUUAUUUACUGUGUAAAUUAAAUAAUUGAACACAAGUAGAUUCUGAAUGAACAAAGGUUAAUGUGCAUUUUGUCAAGAUUAUUAAAUAGCCCACCAAGUUAAGUCUGUUAAAACAAAAAGGGGUGAAUAAGUUUAAGUAACUAUCAGAUUCCUCUUUUUGUUAUCAUUCUGACAAUUUUGUGUUAGGCCAGCAAACAAGAAAAAAGCCAAGUUUUGCCAUUUUGUUAGUUGGUGGACCCCUCAUGGCCUGGUGAAAUGAUAGAUGGGUAUAAGCUGUCACAGCAGAUUCCUGAUAUCUACCUGGGUGAGAAACAGGCUCUGAAUGAGGACUACGCAAACUCAGGUUUUGACCGUGGACACCUGAACCCCAAUGGACAUCAUGCAGGUAUUGCAUUACAAAGAACUUAACUUUAAUCCCUCUGGCCUUUUUUGGGGGGGACUGAGGUCAAAGUUCGGAGCGAUUAAUUAACAUUAUUUUCUAUCUUGAGACCUUUGGUUUCUUGUGACAAAAGUUAAUGUUCUGAAUCUAAGUAGAUAGUCAGUAAAAAUAACUUUUUCUACCUAAGGCUGGAUUACACCACACAUUUUUAACAUUGAUUUUAGCCCUGUUUUUUAGUUGGGUUGAGUUAGUGCUAGUCUGCAGCAGUCAGAUUUUAGGAAAGUUUGAGUCAGAGAAAAAUGCUCAUUAUGCAGUAUCAUGGCUACAGACUCUGAUUUCUUACCCUCCAAUGACCCUGCUGAAAAGCAGGAUAGUUGGAGGGUAAGAAAUCAGCUUAUGUUGUGUUUUGUCUGCCGGUCACCCAGCAAGGGAUGAUGGCGUGCUGGUGACUCUACCCAGGCUUUUAAACUAGCUUAACCAGCUUCAUAAGAAAGACCAGGCUGGUCAACCAGCUUCACCAGCUAAGUUUUACUGGUGAAAAGCAUGACAAUGCUGGUCCAUCAGCUAGACCAGCACCAAACAAAUACUUACCAGCAAACCAGCCUAGACCAGGCAGCAUUCUGGAAUGGCUGACUGCUGGAAUUAAGCUGGUCUUUGUAGCAUGAUGAUUUCAUCUAGUCUGAGGAUAUAAAACACAUUUGAUAUUUCAGAGCUGACUAUCCACAACUAAAAAGAAUCAAAUCUCAAGCCAUAGGUGUAAAGUAAGUGGGGUGAAGAAGCUCAAGAAAUGGAGUUGGCGAACAAGCAAUCAACUGGAGUUUAACCUAACUCUCAAGAGGCCUUUUUUCAUGACUAGAAGCAGCAACAACAACAAGAGCAGCCAGUUCUGUCAUGUAGCUCCUAAAAUGGAAGGACAUGUGUUUCUGCUUGAGCCUGUGAUAAGACUGGAUCAGCUUGAUAUUCAGUUCUAAGUCGUAAUGCCACCUUUACUCUGACCAAUGUGGUGCCCCAAAACCCAACGCUGAACCAAAACGCCUGGCGCAUACAUGAGUCAGAAAUGACCGACUUGUUUAACACAAACUGCCAUCAGGCUUAUGUGCUGGUUG
RNA transcript from Myxocyprinus asiaticus (Chinese sucker), 2324 nucleotides. It is a transcript of the gene named endonuclease domain-containing 1 protein-like, with no coding region annotated. NCBI's taxonomy places the organism in Eukaryota, Metazoa, Chordata, Actinopteri, Cypriniformes, Catostomidae. The record is from RefSeq and is a predicted model, not a curated record. The transcript has 2 exons.